This 280-nucleotide ribosomal RNA is filed under the name uncultured bacterium. Its description in RNAcentral is "partial 16S ribosomal RNA". It matches the Rfam family "Bacterial small subunit ribosomal RNA", at positions 506 to 784 of the family's 1533-position model. The record is from RNAcentral.
UGCCAGCAGCCGCGGUAAUACGAAGGUGGCGAGCGUUGUUCGGAUUCACUGGGCAUAAAGGGCGCGUAGGCGGCCCUGUAAGCGGCGUGUGAAAGCCUGGAGCUCAACUCCAGAACUGCACGCCGAACUACAGAGGCUAGAGGACGGGAGGGGAGUAUGGAACUCUAGGUGGAGCGGUGAAAUGCGUAGAUAUCUAGAGGAACGCCGGUGGCGAAAGCGAUACUCUGGCCCGACCCUGACGCUGAGGCGCGAAAGCGUGGGUAGCAAACAGGAUUAGAUA